Molecule: ribosomal RNA, 460 nt
Filed under: uncultured bacterium
Lineage: Bacteria
Description: partial 16S ribosomal RNA
Rfam family: Bacterial small subunit ribosomal RNA
Source: RNAcentral
CCUACGGGUGGCAGCAGUGAGGAAUAUUGGUCAAUGGACGAGAGUCUGAACCAGCCAAGUAGCGUGAAGGAUGACUGCCCUAUGGGUUGUAAACUUCUUUUAUAUGGGAAUAAAAUGUUCCACGUGUGGGAUUUUGUAUGUACCAUAUGAAUAAGGAUCGGCCAACUCCGUGCCAGCAGCCGCGGUAAUACGGAGGAUGCGAGCGUUCUUUGGAUUUAUUUGGUGUAAAUGGAGCGUAGGUGGGUUGUUAAGUCAGUUGUGAAAGUUUGCGGCUCAACCGUAAAAUUGCAGUUGAAACUGGCAGUCUUGAGUACAGUAGAGGAGGGCGGAAUUCGUGGUGUAGCGGUGAAAUGCUUAGAUAUCACGAAGAACUCCGAUUGCGAAGGCAAUUCACUGGACUGCAACUGACACUGAGGCUCGAAAGUGUGGGUAUCAAACAGGAUUAGAUACCCUAGUAGUC